This 84-nucleotide transfer RNA is filed under the name Chalcophana sp. N69. RNAcentral's name for it is "tRNA-Ile". The record is from RNAcentral. Lineage: Eukaryota; Metazoa; Arthropoda; Insecta; Coleoptera; Chrysomelidae.
AGUGCGGUGCCUGAAAAAGGAUAAUUUUGAUAGGAUUAAUAAUACAAUUAUAAUGUUCGCACUUCAUUCCCCUUCUAACCAAAA